ACCUGGGUGGCUUAGUUGGUUAAGCAUCAGACUCUUGAUUUGGCUUAGGUCAUGAUCUCACAGUUCAUGGGAUCAAGCCCCAUGUCUGGUU
This 91-nucleotide transfer RNA is filed under the name Felis catus (domestic cat). It matches the Rfam family "tRNA". From Rfam's summary of the family: Transfer RNA (tRNA) molecules are approximately 80 nucleotides in length. The record is from Rfam by way of RNAcentral. Lineage: Eukaryota; Metazoa; Chordata; Mammalia; Carnivora; Felidae. RNAcentral also lists the same sequence under 5 other names.